UUGAGAGUCCGAAUAUGCCCUAGCAGCUCACCGCGCGAACCAAGGGCGCGUUCCUCCUCGGUCUCAUCUGCCAGAGGACGGACCUUUCCCUCGAGAGACUCAACCUGAGCCCGUAGGCCAGCGUUGUCCUCGGUCAGCUUCUGAUGGUCGACCACCUGCUCUUCCAAGCUCGCCUUAGCAGCCUUCAACUGGUCCCUCUCCUUUUCCACCUCCUCCAGCUUCUGGC
RNAcentral lists this long non-coding RNA (226 nucleotides) under Lathyrus oleraceus (garden pea). Its description in RNAcentral is "Pisum sativum (pea) long non-coding RNA (PSAT_LNC033157)". Lineage: Eukaryota; Viridiplantae; Streptophyta; Magnoliopsida; Fabales; Fabaceae. The record is from RNAcentral.